This 271-nucleotide unclassified non-coding RNA is filed under the name fungal sp. Its description in RNAcentral is "partial internal transcribed spacer region". The stretch from base 1 to 45 matches the Rfam family "Eukaryotic small subunit ribosomal RNA", at positions 1787 to 1831 of the family's 1831-position model. The record is from RNAcentral. Lineage: Eukaryota; Fungi.
AGUCGUAACAAGGUUUCCGUAGGUGAACCUGCGGAAGGAUCAUUAACAAAUCCGUUGAGUGAAGAGGGUGUAGUGUUGUGGGUGUAGUGGUGAUAGAUAAUAUCUCACUAUGCCCGUGCUCUCACCCCCCCACUAACAUGAACCGGAUCUCCGAGAGGAGGUUCGCCUGUGAAUGGCCGUUGGCUGUUUGCAGAAAUAGGCUAUGCUUUGUAUGUCUUAUAACAACAUAAUCAAUCAUAAACAACUUUUAACAAUGGAUCUCUUGGCUCUU